Molecule: long non-coding RNA, 237 nt
Filed under: Homo sapiens (human)
Lineage: Eukaryota; Metazoa; Chordata; Mammalia; Primates; Hominidae
Description: HSALNT0248888
Source: RNAcentral
GUGCAGACUACUUUAUUAGGAAGUUGUCGAUGUUUUUUCUGGAGGCCUGAUCUGUCUGCUUCACAAAGGCCUGGAGCCAGUCCUUGAAUGGAUCUGAGUGUCAGCAGGCAGGGCAGCUCCUCCCUGCCACUGAGAUGAAGGAGUCCAUCUGGCAGCCAGCUCUCACACCAGCAGUGCUGCAGAACAGCUUUUUAUGUCCCUCAUGGAUUUCCCGUUUCUUAGCAAAGUGCUUGCUGC